Non-coding RNA from Arachis ipaensis, 183 nucleotides. The record is from RefSeq and is a predicted model, not a curated record. NCBI's taxonomy places the organism in Eukaryota, Viridiplantae, Streptophyta, Magnoliopsida, Fabales, Fabaceae.
AAAUUAUUUGUUAAGAAUGAAAAGCACAAGAAAUCAAGAACAUAACAGAAACUGGCAAUGAAAAAUAGAUGCAGACAAAAUACACGAACAAAAAUCAAGAACAGAAUUGAGCAAUGAAAAAUAGAUGCACUGAAAGAUCAAGAACCAAAAAUGAAGAACAGAAUCAACUCCAGUACAAAUAGA